GGUUAAUACUCUCAUGCAAUCUCUUGGCUCAAGGAGCAGAAGCAUUCAGAAGACGCAUAUCGUGAGAUCUGCUGUGGGAUCAAGAAUUAAAUAACUAAUAUUCUGGUCUCUGAACUGCUGAGAGAAGUAUGACAUCCAUGCUGUGUGCAAAAUGAUUGAGCUUUGACGUCUGCUCAACCACCGGCCAGACAGCUGAUGAGAUUCAUCCAAUUUCUAGAGUCCUUCAUCUGCUCUAUUUAUGUAAAUCAUAGAUAGAGUGCCAGUAGGUGGCACUUGAAAAUAUUUACUAUGCUUCCUGUGCUUUACUGGACCAAUAAAAACAUGUUAUUG
RNAcentral lists this long non-coding RNA (330 nucleotides) under Gallus gallus (chicken). Lineage: Eukaryota; Metazoa; Chordata; Aves; Galliformes; Phasianidae. The record is from RNAcentral.